GAAAUACGAUAAAUAAUGUAAAUUGUAGAAUUCAGUGAAUCAUCGAAUCUUUGAACGCACAUUAUACCCGCCAGUACUCUAGCGGGCAUACCUAUUCGAACGUCAUUUCAACCAUCAAGCCCCGCGCUUAUGCUAGGGACCUACGGCUACCCGCAGGCUCCGAAAACCAGUAGCGGGCUCGCUAUCACUCCGAGCGUAGUAGUUUAUAUCUCGCUUAGGGCGUACUACGGGUUCCGGCUAUAAAAACCCCCCCUUACACCAAGGUUAACCUCGGAUUAGGUAGGAAUACCCGCUGAACUUAA
RNAcentral lists this unclassified non-coding RNA (302 nucleotides) under uncultured fungus. Its description in RNAcentral is "sequence contains ITS1". The stretch from base 1 to 105 matches the Rfam family "5.8S ribosomal RNA", at positions 50 to 154 of the family's 154-position model. Lineage: Eukaryota; Fungi. The record is from RNAcentral.